AUUGAACGCUGGCGGCAGGCCUAACACAUGCAAGUCGAACGGUAACAGGAAGAAGCUUGCUUCUUUGCUGACGAGUGGCGGACGGGUGAGUAAUGUCUGGGAAACUGCCUGAUGGAGGGGGAUAACUACUGGAAACGGUAGCUAAUACCGCAUAACGUCGCAAGACCAAAGAGGGGGACCUUCGGGCCUCUUGCCAUCGGAUGUGCCCAGAUGGGAUUAGCUUGUUGGUGGGGUAACGGCUCACCAAGGCGACGAUCCCUAGCUGGUCUGAGAGGAUGACCAGCCACACUGGAACUGAGACACGGUCCAGACUCCUACGGGAGGCAGCAGUGGGGAAUAUUGCACAAUGGGCGCAAGCCUGAUGCAGCCAUGCCGCGUGUAUGAAGAAGGCCUUCAGGUUGUAAAGUACUUUCAGCGGGGAGGAAGGGAGUAAAGUUAAUACCUUUGCUCAUUGACGUUACCCGCAGAAGAAGCACCGGCUAACUCCGUG
This 490-nucleotide ribosomal RNA is filed under the name uncultured bacterium. Its description in RNAcentral is "partial 16S ribosomal RNA". It matches the Rfam family "Bacterial small subunit ribosomal RNA", at positions 30 to 507 of the family's 1533-position model. The record is from RNAcentral.